Molecule: ribosomal RNA, 489 nt
Filed under: uncultured Eubacteriales bacterium
Lineage: Bacteria; Bacillati; Bacillota; Clostridia; Eubacteriales
Description: bacterial SSU rRNA
Rfam family: Bacterial small subunit ribosomal RNA
Source: RNAcentral
AACGCUGGCGGCGUGCGUAACACAUGCAAGUCGAACGAGAAUGUACUGACAGAUCCUUAGGGUGAAGAUAGUACAGGACAGUGGCGGAUGGGUGAGUAACGCGUAAGAAACCUGCCUUUCACACCGGGAUAGCAGCUGGAAACGGCUAUUAAUACCGGAUGACACUUUUUCCCCGCAUGAGGAAGAGGUUAAAGAAUUUCGGUGAAAGAUGGUCUUGCGUCUGAUUAGCUAGUUGGUGGGGUAACGGCCUACCAAGGCGACGAUCAGUAGCCGGCCUGAGAGGGUGUACGGCCACAUUGGGACUGAGACACGGCCCAAACUCCUACGGGAGGCAGCAGUGGGGAAUUUUGCACAAUGGAGGAAACUCUGAUGCAGCGACGCCGCGUGAACGAAGAAGGUCUUCGGAUUGUAAAGUUCUGUCCUGGGUGAAGAGGAUGACGGUAACUCAGGAGGAAGCCCCGGCUAACUACGUGCCAGCCGCCGCGGUAA